AAAACACAAAGUGCUGGAGGAACUCAAUCAAAGUCAGGCAACAUGUGGGGAGGGAAUCGAUAGACAAUGUUUCGAUUUGAACCCUUCUUCAGACU
Long non-coding RNA from Amblyraja radiata (thorny skate), 95 nucleotides. RefSeq lists it as uncharacterized. The record is from RefSeq and is a predicted model, not a curated record. The transcript has 3 exons. Lineage: Eukaryota; Metazoa; Chordata; Chondrichthyes; Rajiformes; Rajidae.